GCGCACGGGCCCUGUGAGCGAUCGCGGUGUGCUCGGGCUGGUGACGCGUGCGCCGGCCGGCCGCCGAGGGGCUACCGUUCUGCCUCCGACCGGUCGUGUGUGGGUUUACUCGGAGAAAUACUAGGCUUUAGAAUUUCACCUUAUGAAUUUUGGGAGAGAGGAGCACAGUUCAGCCCAUAACUAACACACGUGAUGAAGAAGACAUGCCAACAGAGGGUUAAUUCCAGAUAAAAUGAAAUGUUCCAAACAACGGAAUGAAGUUGAUAAUAGUGAGACCUUGUUGGUACAAGACUCUGUAACAUAACCUGCGCUUCUCAACAAAGAAUUGCUUUUCUGACUUCUGCACUCAAUAGCAAGACAAAUCUCUCCUCUGUCUUUUUCUUAUCAGACUACUCAACAUGAAGGCAAUAAGAAUGAAGACCUUUAUGUAUAAUAAUUGACUUCCACUUAAUAAAUAAGGUUACUUGGUACACUGGUCGACAAAAC
This 486-nucleotide long non-coding RNA is filed under the name Pan troglodytes (chimpanzee). RNAcentral's name for it is "lincRNA". The record is from RNAcentral. Lineage: Eukaryota; Metazoa; Chordata; Mammalia; Primates; Hominidae.